GGGUGAGUGGUGAAACCAGGUAAACACGCCAGAUUGAGGUUCUGGUGCCGCAAGGCUUGGAGGUUCAAAUCCUCUCUCACCCACCA
Molecule: transfer RNA, 86 nt
Filed under: Candidatus Saccharibacteria bacterium RIFCSPHIGHO2_12_FULL_47_17
Lineage: Bacteria; Candidatus Saccharimonadota
Also listed under: 2 other names
Description: tRNA-Leu
Rfam family: tRNA
About the family: Transfer RNA (tRNA) molecules are approximately 80 nucleotides in length.
Source: RNAcentral